AGAGUUUGAUCAUGGCUCAGGAUGAACGCUGGCGGCGUGCCUAAUACAUGCAAGUCGAACGCGAUGAGUAAUCAUCGAGUGGCGAACGGGUGAGUAAGACAUAAGUAACCUACCCUAGACAGGGGGAUAACUAUUGGAAACGAUAGCUAAGACCGCAUAGGUAGAAUAAACGCAUGUUUAUGCUAUUAAAAAUGCUUCGG
This 200-nucleotide ribosomal RNA is filed under the name uncultured bacterium. Its description in RNAcentral is "partial 16S ribosomal RNA". It matches the Rfam family "Bacterial small subunit ribosomal RNA", at positions 8 to 218 of the family's 1533-position model. The record is from RNAcentral.